GACGAACGCUGGCGGCGUGCUUAACACAUGCAAGUCGAACGGAAAGGCCCUGCUUUUGUGGGUUGCUCGAGUGGCGAACGGGUGAGUAACACGUGAGUAACCUGCCCUUGACUUUGGGAUAACUUCAGGAAACUGGGGCUAAUAUCGGAUAGGAGCUCCUGCUGCAUGGUGGGGGUUGGAAAGUUUCGGCGGUUGGGGAUGGACUCGCGGCUUAUCAGCUUGUUGGUGGGGUAGUGGCUUACCAAGGCUUUGACGGGUAGCCGGCCUGAGAGGGUGACCGGCGACAUUGGGACUGAGAGACGGACCAGAAGGCUACGGGAGGCAGCAGUGGGGAAUAUUGCACAAUGGGCGGAAGCCUGAGGCAGCAACGCCGCGUGCGGGAUGACGGCCUUCGGGUUGUAAACCGCUUUCGCCUGUGACGAAGCGGGAGUGACGGUAAUGGGUAAAGAAGCACCGGCUAACUACGUG
RNAcentral lists this ribosomal RNA (468 nucleotides) under uncultured bacterium. RNAcentral's name for it is "partial 16S ribosomal RNA". It matches the Rfam family "Bacterial small subunit ribosomal RNA", at positions 28 to 507 of the family's 1533-position model. The record is from RNAcentral.